RNAcentral lists this ribosomal RNA (253 nucleotides) under uncultured bacterium. RNAcentral describes it as "partial 16S ribosomal RNA". It matches the Rfam family "Bacterial small subunit ribosomal RNA", at positions 524 to 776 of the family's 1533-position model. The record is from RNAcentral.
UACGAGGUGCACAAACGUUAUUCGGAUUUACUGGGCUUAAAGCGUGCGUAGGCGGCCUGGCAAGUUGGGUGUGAAAUCCCUCGGCUCAACCGAGGAAUUGCGCCCAAAACUGCUGGGCUAGAGUGAGACAGAGGUGAGCGGAACUGAUGGUGGAGCGGUGAAAUGCGUUGAUAUCAUCAGGAACACCGGUGGCGAAGGCGGCUCACUGGGUCUCUACUGACGCUGAGGCACGAAAGCUAGGGGAGCAAACGGG